Long non-coding RNA from Oxyura jamaicensis (ruddy duck), 4192 nucleotides. RefSeq lists it as uncharacterized. The record is from RefSeq and is a predicted model, not a curated record. The transcript is spliced from 3 exons. Lineage: Eukaryota; Metazoa; Chordata; Aves; Anseriformes; Anatidae.
CCAAAACGGCGAAGGACAUGGCAUUUCCUGCAUGACUCAGGACAGGGGAGAUGCGGGAAGAAAGCCCCUGUGAACCAGAACGCCAGGUGAAGAGUGAAGAGUCUGAAGGCUGGGAGAGAUUCAGGUCUGCUUCCAUACGGCCCUCCUGUGCCCAUCAGCCCUGAUGUGCUGGGGGAAAAUCCGUCCUUCCUUUGGGCUGAACGAGAGCCAUCGCCAAGCAUCCUGCUGGCUACAGCAGGAGAGGUUUGUUCCCCAGCUGCAGACACACAUGUCCAUGCUCCAGUCAAACACAUACUGUUCCCUUUACGUGUGUCUGUGGAUUUGGGUGAUGCUUUGCAGCCGAACUGUGAGCAGGGGUGGAAGGCCAUGGUUUCUCUGUGGCUGGUUGCAGAAGCACUGCAUGACGCGUGUUGUAUCUGAAAGGCUGGGGUGGCAGCGAGCCUCUGCUGGUUUGUGCUGUCCUGGCUGCAGCCCACGGGGUCGAGCGAAGUUCUGGGAGGCAGGGAAGGGCAUUGCUUCAUCCCUGGGAGUGCCUUCGCAGGGCUUGGGGAUGCUCCCGCAGAGCAAGGCAGGGCUGCCAGCUGGCACGGGGCUGCAGUACCGUCAUGGAGGAGGGACGCAGAUCUGCAGCACAAGCCCCAACAGGGCAGAAGAAGGGAAAACUUCUCCUAGGGAGACUGCAAGGGGUUUUCCAGUUGGGGUAGCUAAUGGAAUUUGGGCUGGAAGGAGGCUUCCUUGCCUUCUGCUGGGAUACAGCCUGACUCCCCUCAGCCUUCUAACCUAUUGUCAUAGCUUCUAAUCUUUUCUUAGAAUCUCCCAUGGUCUUUUGUCCAUUUUUGCUGUGUUUUUCUCAAGAGUUUUUCAAACGCUGUCCACCACAGAGGGAUUCCUUCAUGUCCAGCUGCCAGCGCCCCUGCUUGUUCCUUGCCAGUGCCUGGCUCCAGUUGCAGCAGCCUGUGACUCAUUCCAGCCUCCGAGCUGCUCUGAGGAAUUGCCCUGCUAGUGAUUCCUCUUUGUGGAUUUGUGCAAUUCACGAGCCAUGAAAUUAUGUAACUUUGCCCUUGUCCUUGCUGAGCUGCCUGUGUUUUUCAAACCAGCUCUGCGAUUUGCCAAAGCUGUUCUGACUUCUUUCACCAAUAUGCCAGCAUCUUCUUUUAGCUUGAGAUCUGCAUGUGGUUUUAAACGCCCCAUCAGUGGAAAUGAAAAUAACUGCAUAUUCAAUCCAGAACCAGUCUUUAAGUCUCCUAAUUUGAUAUAUUCUUCAGGACUGAUUUUUGUACCCCUUGAGAUAAUGUUUUUUACAGGUGGCUUAUGGAAAAUAAUUCAUAAUGAUACUCAAACUCUCAACAUACCUCUUGCUAUCUACUAUUUUUUCCCUGUCCUCAAGAGCUGUUAUCCUAAAAAAGGAGGAAAUUAUCAGUUUGACCAUGAGUAGCAGCCAGCAUGGAUUUGUCAAGAAUAAAUCACUUUCUUGCUGUCAUGUAGGUAUCUGCAAUUCAUCUGCUUGUUCCUUUCUGGGCGGUAAGGGGGACUGAAGUUAGGUGGUUGGGUUUUUUUGUUUGUUUUAAAGAUAUUUGUUCUUUCUGAGUCUUUGAACUUUUAUCUGUCCUCCACAACUUCCCAAACAAGGCCAUAAAUGUUUGGGAAUUCAAAAAAUUCAGCCAACUUUUUGUAUGUACUUGGUGAUGAACAGCAUCAGCCCAACCACUUCGAAAAAAUCCAAUUCAUCCGAAGAAUCCCCAGUUUUAAGUUCUCACUCCUUCGUUAUCACUGGUGUUUGUUGUGUUAAGUGCCCUGGUACAGCUGGUGCUUGUGAAGGAGGCAGGAGCAGAGUGGUUGUGCCCUUCUUGUAUCAGAUGUCAGGGCUUUUCUCUUGGGCAGAGCUUAACUCCUUCUUUUGUCUUCCUCUUUCAGUUUAAUAUCAGGGUCCCAAACCUGGUACGUACCCAAAUGAGUUUCAAAUGAACACAGGCAGGUCAGUGUCAUUAUAUACAUCUGUCGCACUGAGAUGGGCAAUUCAGUAACAUCAGGGGUGAGCAAAGCCCUUUGUUACUUCACUGGAAGCACUGGCACUUCAGAUCCUGGGUCAGAAAUCAACAGAGGUGAGUUUGGUCUUGUAGUUCUUGAGCAGACAAAGAUCAACAUCUUGGGGCUGCCUUCGUGCGGCCUAGGAGAGCACAGAGGCUCAGGGUCACAUUCGUGAUGCACUCACAGACUUGGUGAGCUUCCAAGCUGCUUGGUUUUAGUCAAUGCCACUAUUUCCUUACUUUGGUGAGCAGGGAGGCAACGGCGGUGUUUUAUACAGCGGAGGGAAUACUACAAAAGCUGACAUUAGGUGUAAGGGAUUUUUGUGUUGUCGCCUACCAGUUUGCACAUGACCUGGUGUGAUUCAUAGUCUUUGCAAAGUGGGAGAGCAACUACAAAGAGGGCAAUUUUAGAAAUAUCAUCCAAUUGAGCUGUGAGGAAAUCAGACAUAACAAACAAAUGGAAACAGUUGCUGUGCCCCGGCCUUACCGUAAAGCGUUCACAAGCUGCAAAAAAUACAAAAGCCGUGGACUGUGAAGGAAGGUCAGGGCAGCAGUGAUAAACAUGUGAGCAGGACAGAGAAAAGGCCUAAUAUGUGGAAGUGUGUUGUCAGGGUUUUACUUUGCUGUGAUUUGGGGGCCUUAGAUAUCAAACAGGUGAACAGGUACCUGCCUUGGGCCUCUGAGGCUUUUGAGGUUCUCUCGCUAACCACUCUGUUGGCUGGGUUUUCAAAACAAGCCUGUGCAUUAUGGUUGAGGAAACUUGUGUCAAAAAACAAAACUGGAGGAUUUCUUUCCUGCCUCUUCACCGUCCUUCCCUGCCGGGAAUCAUCAGUGUCAUGUUUUUUACAAACACUUCUAGUGUUUGUUCUGGAACCCAUGCCAAAGGAGCCAUUUUUCUGAUUUAGCACUGAUUCCUGUGAUAACUGUAUCGCUUUCGGUUUAGCUGGGGUUUUUGAGGUCUCCUAUUUAUGUCCAUAGAAUAUUUAUUUAUCUGUAGAUCUUGAAUACUGUGAGUGUUAGUAAGCAGUUAAAUAAGCAAAAUCCCUCUCAGGUGGUUCAGGGGAAGGGGAGAAAUAGAUUUUUUUUGGUCUAUGGUUUUUGGGGAGGAAGGGUUGUCCUGUGUCAAACAGCUCAAAUCCAACGAGGAGCCAUGCAGAUGGAGAGAGAAGAGCUGGGAGCUCAGCCUGGGGAAUGUAAGGCUCAGGGUGAGUCUUCCCCAUUUGUACCAACACCUGGUUUGGGACAGUAAAGAUGAAUCCAGAGUCACCUCAGUGGUGCCCAGGGCCAGGACAAGAGUCAGUGGGCACAAGCUGAAAUGUACAAUUCCAACAUUGCAUAAGGAAAAACUUCUCUGCCUUGAGGGCGAUUGAAUCCUGGAGCAGGUUGCAUAGAGAGGGCAUGAAGCCUUCAUCCUCAGAGAUGGCCAAAAUCCAUGGAGAUGGCCAAACCCUGCCAGCCUCCAGCCUGGCCUGCUGCAGCUGGCCCUGCUCCGACAUAAUGGUUGGGCUUAACCGAUCUCCAGAGCUUCCUCCCCCUGCACCCAACUAUCUGGUGAUUUUGCAAACUUGCCAUUGAGUGUGACAGUCAUAAAUUUGCUUUAGAAAAAUACUUCGUGCCUAGACCUGCUGUCUUCCCUCAGAAGUUCCAGUAACUUUGCUCCUGCAUUUCCGUUUGGUACUGGCUCCCUGCCCGUGUCCUUUUUCUGUGAAGUUUAGUUCCUAUCAGUCCUUUCGCAUGCGACGGAUUUUUCCAUUAUUAUUUAAUGAAUGCCCAAAAGCUAUUAUACUGUUUAUUUCCUUUAAGCAUUUUAAGAAAAACCUUUCCUUGUGGUCAGUUUUGGCUUCUUAAGUAAACUUUUAUAACCUUUUGGUGUGUUUAUAUUUCCCUCUUUUUUUGCAUUUGACCUCACUUGCCAAGGGGUGGAGUGGAAAUCCCAUGCUCCAGACACAAAUACAGUUUGGCAUCUCCUGAACCUAUGGCUUCUUCUGUGGCUCUUGCUUCAAAGAGAUCCUGGCCUUCCAACUCAAGGGGCCUGCAGUGCUCAUGCUGGCACCUGGGCUUGUUACCUGCCUCAGCUGAAGGAUGGAGCUCCAGUAAACUUUCCCUGAGAGAGUCACCUGGAAACCACAGAGAUAAAACUGCCUGAGAAAGGAGAUGGAACACAG